This 253-nucleotide ribosomal RNA is filed under the name uncultured bacterium. RNAcentral describes it as "partial 16S ribosomal RNA". It matches the Rfam family "Bacterial small subunit ribosomal RNA", at positions 524 to 776 of the family's 1533-position model. The record is from RNAcentral.
UACGGGGGGGGCAAGCGUUGUUCGGAAUUACUGGGCGUAAAGGGCUCGUAGGCGGCCAACUAAGUCAGACGUGAAAUCCCACGGCUCAACCGUGGAAGUGCAUCCGAAACUGCAUCGCUCGAGUCUCGGAGAGGAAGGUGGAAUGCUUGGUGUAGAGGUGAAAUUCGUAGAUAUCAAGCAGAACACCUGCGGCGAAGGCGGCCUUCUGGACGAUGACUGACGCUGAGACGCGAAAGCGUGGGGAGCAAACAGG